Long non-coding RNA from Pocillopora damicornis (cauliflower coral), 354 nucleotides. The record is from RefSeq and is a predicted model, not a curated record. Lineage: Eukaryota; Metazoa; Cnidaria; Anthozoa; Scleractinia; Pocilloporidae.
CUUCAAUUCUUGAAAUCGACCCGAAUGAUGGCUGGAGAGUGAUUGCUGACUUUAAGUGACGCCUCACGACAUUUCGAAGAGUCUUCGACCCGUUAAACAAUGUGAGACACUCGGAAGAAAUCUGAAAGGAUCACCAUGGUGAAGCGUGGCGAAGCCAUAGACACAUCGAAAAUUCAUCUUGAGAUUCUGGAGGUGUUGCAAUCUUGUUAAGGCAAGCUCUCAGUUCUUCUAUCUUAAACUGUUCUCUACCAGCUGAAGGACACUAAAUUUGAUUCAAAAAAGGAAGCGAAGCCAAAAUGUCUCAUACCUUAGUCCGAUUUUACAAACAUAAUGGAACACCUGCGUUAGAAUCCA